Molecule: microRNA precursor, 117 nt
Filed under: Mandrillus leucophaeus (drill)
Lineage: Eukaryota; Metazoa; Chordata; Mammalia; Primates; Cercopithecidae
Description: miRNA (ENSMLEG00000011337.1)
Source: RNAcentral
GAGCCAGAACCAGAGAACAAGGGAGGGUUCCCAGCCCCUAAGGCAACUGGAUGGGAGACCUGACCACCGGAGGUGAAUUCUCUGAGGGGGCUCUUGUGUGUUCUACAAGGUUGUUCA